This 497-nucleotide ribosomal RNA is filed under the name uncultured bacterium. RNAcentral's name for it is "partial 16S ribosomal RNA". It matches the Rfam family "Bacterial small subunit ribosomal RNA", at positions 28 to 507 of the family's 1533-position model. The record is from RNAcentral.
GAUGAACGCUGGCGGCGUGCCUAAUACAUGCCAGUCGAGCGAACAGAUUAGGAUCUUGUUCCUCUUACGUUAGCGGCUGACGGGUGAGUAACCCGUGGAUACCCUACCUAUAAGACUGGGAUACCUUCGGUAAACCGGAGCUAAUACCGUACAAUCUUUUGUACCGCCUUGUUCGUUAGUAUAACACGGUUUUGAUUUCACUUAUAACUGGAUCCGCGCCGCAUUAGCUAAUUGGUAAGGUAACGGCAUACCAAGGCAACGCUGCGUAGCCGAUCUGACAUGGUGUGCAGCCGCACCGGAACGGAGACACGGACAAGACUCCUACGGGAGGUAGCAGUAGGGAAUCUUCCGUAAUGGGCGAAAGCCUGACGGAGCAACGCCGCGUGAGUGAUGAAGGUUGUCGGAUCGUAAAACUCGGUUAUUAGGGAAGAACAAAUGUGUAAGUAACUAUGCACGUCUUGACGGUACCUAAUCAGAAAGCCACGGCUAACUACGUG